Molecule: ribosomal RNA, 411 nt
Filed under: uncultured soil bacterium
Lineage: Bacteria
Description: bacterial SSU rRNA
Rfam family: Bacterial small subunit ribosomal RNA
Source: RNAcentral
UGGCUGUCGUCAGCUCGUGUCGUGAGAUGUUGGGUUAAGUCCCGCAACGAGCGCAACCCUUGUCCUGUGUUGCAACUAAUAGGCACUCUCAGGAGACCGCCAGCGAUAAGCUGGAGGAAGGUGGGGAUGACGUCAAGUCAUCAUGGCCUUUAUGUCCAGGGCUACACACGUGCUACAAUGGGCGGUACAGACCGCUGCAAACCCGCGAGGGGGAGCAAAUCGGAAAAAACCGUUCUCAGUUCGGAUUGCAGUCUGCAACUCGACUGCAUGAAGCUGGAAUCGCUAGUAAUGGCAUAUCAGAACGAUGCCGUGAAUACGUUCCCGGGCCUUGUACACACCGCCCGUCACAUCACGAAAGUGGAUUGUACUAGAAGUCUGCGCGCCAACCGCAAGGAGGCAGCGGCCCAAGGU